Mandrillus leucophaeus (drill) is the source of this 375-nucleotide long non-coding RNA. RefSeq lists it as uncharacterized. The transcript is spliced from 2 exons. The record is from RefSeq and is a predicted model, not a curated record. NCBI's taxonomy places the organism in Eukaryota, Metazoa, Chordata, Mammalia, Primates, Cercopithecidae.
CUCUGCUCACAGGAUACCCACUCUGGUUGCAGCUUCCUGGGACAGCCUUGGGGGCUGGAAUUGGCAGCAGCUGGAGGUGGCUGGGGACAGUGGAGGGAGGGGAGUAAGCUGUGGACAUGGUGGUAGGGGGGUCCCUCUUCAGUGUUUAAGGGCCCAGGAGUGAGUUCCUCUGGCUGCUCCAGCAAGUGGAGAGAGAAGAGCCGACUGGCCCCGGAGGCACCGACCACAGCCCGAGCGGGCCUGCUGGAAGCUCCGACCCUGCCGCAGAUCCCUGCGCCGCACGAUGUGAACAAUUGCUGCAAUCUCACCCUAAGUACUCUUGUUUCCCCUAAUAAUCCACAUUUCAUCUCCACAAUAAACAUUGUUAGAACUCUU